Molecule: ribosomal RNA, 266 nt
Filed under: uncultured Staphylococcus sp.
Lineage: Bacteria; Bacillati; Bacillota; Bacilli; Caryophanales; Staphylococcaceae
Description: partial 16S ribosomal RNA
Rfam family: Bacterial small subunit ribosomal RNA
Source: RNAcentral
CGGCGGACGGGUGAGUAACACGUGGAUAACCUACCUAUAAGACUGGGAUAACUUCGGGAAACCGGAGCUAAUACCGGAUAAUAUAUUGAACCGCAUGGUUCAAUAGUGAAAGACGGUUUUGCUGUCACUUAUAGAUGGAUCCGCGCCGCAUUAGCUAGUUGGUAAGGUAACGGCUUACCAAGGCAACGAUGCGUGGCCGACCUGAGAGGGUGAUCGGCCACACUGGAACUGAGACACGGUCCAGACUCCUACGGGAGGCAGCAGGC